Molecule: ribosomal RNA, 503 nt
Filed under: uncultured bacterium
Lineage: Bacteria
Description: bacterial SSU rRNA
Rfam family: Bacterial small subunit ribosomal RNA
Source: RNAcentral
UGGGGAAUCUUGGACAAUGGGCGCAAGCCUGAUCCAGCCAUGCCGCGUGAGCGAUGAAGGCCUUAGGGUUGUAAAGCUCUUUCACCGGUGAAGAUAAUGACGGUAGCAGGUAAAGAAACCCCGGCUAACUCCGUGCCAGCAGCCGCGGUAAUACGGAGGGGGUUAGCGUUGUUCGGAAUUACUGGGCGUAAAGCGCACGUAGGCGGACCAGAAAGUUGGGGGUGAAAUCCCGGGGGCUCAACCCCGGAACUGCCUCCAAAACUAUUGGUCUAGAGUUCGAGAGAGGUGAGUGGAAUUCCAAGUGUAGAGGUGAAAUUCGUAGAUAUUUGGAGGAACACCAGUGGCGAAGGCGGCUCACUGGCUCGAUACUGACGCUGAGGUGCGAAAGUGUGGGGAGCAAACAGGAUUAGAUACCCUGGUAGUCCACGCCGUAAAACGAUGAAUGUUAGCCGUCGGGCAGUAUACUGUUCGGUGGCGCAGCUAACGCAUUAAACAUUCCGCCU